RNAcentral lists this ribosomal RNA (497 nucleotides) under uncultured bacterium. RNAcentral's name for it is "partial 16S ribosomal RNA". It matches the Rfam family "Bacterial small subunit ribosomal RNA", at positions 28 to 507 of the family's 1533-position model. The record is from RNAcentral.
GAUGAACGCUGGCGGCGUGCCUAAUACAUGCAAGUCGAGCGAACGGACGAGAAGCUUGCUUCUCUGAUGUUAGCGGCGGACGGGUGAGUAACACGUGGAUAACCUACCUAUAAGACUGGGAUAACUUCGGGAAACCGGAGCUAAUACCGGAUAAUAUUUUGAACCGCAUGGUUCAAAAGUGAAAGACGGUCUUGCUGUCACUUAUAGAUGGAUCCGCGCUGCAUUAGCUAGUUGGUAAGGUAACGGCUUACCAAGGCAACGAUGCAUAGCCGACCUGAGAGGGUGAUCGGCCACUCUGGAACUGAGACACGGUCCAGACUCCUACGGGAGGCAGCAGUAGGGAAUCCUCCGCAAUGGGCGAAAGCCUGACGGAGCAACGCCGCGUGAGUGAUGAAGGUCUUCGGAUCGUAAAACUCUGUUAUUAGGGAAGAACAUAUGUGUAAGUAACUGUGCACAUCUUGACGGUACCUAAUCAGAAAGCCACGGCUAACUACGUG